CCCUUAGAUGUUCUCGGCCGCACACGCGCUACACUGAAAGAGGCAACGUGUUUGCCUGAUUCGAAAGAAUUGGGUAACCCCCUAAUCUCUUUCGUGCUGGGGAUUGAGGUUUGCAAUUAUCCUUCAUGAACGAGGAAUUCCCAGUAAGUGCGAGUCAUUAUCUCGCGCUGACUACGUCCCUGCCCUUUGUACACACCGCCCGUCGCUACUACCGAUUGAAUGAUUUAGUGAGGACUUCGGACUGAGUCCAAUGCGGCUUUCGGGCUGCGUUGGUAUUUCGGAAAGAUAUCCAAACUGUAUCAUUUAGAGGAAGUAAAAGUCGUAACA
This 327-nucleotide ribosomal RNA is filed under the name uncultured eukaryote. RNAcentral's name for it is "partial 18S ribosomal RNA". It matches the Rfam family "Eukaryotic small subunit ribosomal RNA", at positions 1470 to 1796 of the family's 1831-position model. The record is from RNAcentral.